AUAGUUGACGCCUGUGAUGGCGUGCCUUUUGCAUAAUGAGCCAACGAGUUAAUGUCAUAAGCGAGGUUAAGUAUUAGAGGUAUGGAGCCGUAGCGAAAGCGAGUCCGAAGAGGGCGGAAUAAGUUUAUGGUAUUAGACCCGAAACCAGGUGAUCUACCUAUGGUCAGGUUGAAAGUUGGGUAAAACCAACUGGAGGACCGCACCAACCGUCGUUGAAAAGGCGGUGGAGGAACUGUGGGUAGGGGUGAAAGGCCAAACAAACCUGGAGAUAGCUGGUUCUCUCCGAAACAUAUUUAGGUAUGGCCUCAGUGGAGAUUAUUGGAGGUAGAGCACUGAAUGGGCUAGGGGGCUUACACGCUUACUGAACCCAAUCAAACUCCGAAUGCCAAUAAUUGCUCACUGGGAGACAGGGCGCGGGCGAUAAGGUUCGCGUGCGAGAGGGGAACAACCCAGACUGUCAGCUAAGGCCCCGAAAUAGAUACUUAGUGCGUAAGGAUGUUCAAUUGCCCAGACAGCCAGGAUCUUGGCUUAGAAGCAGCCAUGAUUUAAAGAGUGCGUAACAGCUCACUGGUCGAGUGGUAGGGCACCGAAGAUAAUCGGGACUGAAGUAUCUUGCCGAAGCUGCGGACUUGCAUAUAGAUGUGAGUGGUAGGAGAGCAUUGUGAUUGCGCAGAAGGUGUAUUGUGAGAUAUGCUGGAGCGGUCACAAGAGACCAUGUUGGCAUGAGUAACGAUAAUGCGGGUGAGAAACCCGCACACCAUAAGCCCAAGGAUUCCUGAGUAAAGUUAAUCUUCUCAGGGUUAGUCGGUCCCUAAGGUAUAGCGAUAAGGCGAAGCUGAUGGGAAUCAGGUUAAUAAUCCUGAACCUGAGUAUUGAGUGAAGGAGUGACGCGACGGUGCUGCAGGGACAGCUGUUGGAAUAGCUGUUGAAUGCAGGUAGGAAGUGGGACAGGCAAAUCCGUUCCACGGAUAUUCCGAGAUGCAGGACGAGGCGUAAGCCGUAAAGCUUGUUUAGAGACGUUGCCGAGAAAUAGCUUCUAGCGUUAAUCAAUAUUCAGACCGUACCGCAAACCGACACAGGUGGGCGAGGAGAGUAUCCUAAGGUGUUCGAGCGAACUCUGGUUAAGGAACUAGGCAAAAUUACCCCGUAACUUCGGGAGAAGGGGUGCCCCGUUAUCGUGAGUAGUGAACGCUAUGAGCGAGAGGGGGUCGCAGUGAAUAGGCCCAAGCGACUGUUUAUCAAAAACACAGGUCUAUGCGAAGGCGAAAGCCACGGUAUAUAGACUGACACCUGCCCGGUGCCGGAAGGUUAAGUGGAGAGGUUAGCCUGCACUAAUUUUAUCAUAGUGAAGGGUGAAAAGUGAAGAAUGUAAAAUUUACAAUGUAUAAUGAAUGUGAGAGAUGGUGAAAUUAGUGCAGGCGAAGCUUCGAAAUGAAGCCCCGGUAAACGGCGGCCGUAACUAUAACGGUCCUAAGGUAGCGAAAUUCCUUGUCGGGUAAGUUCCGACCUGCACGAAUGGUGUAACGAUUUGGGCGCUGUCUCAACCAGGGACUCGGUGAAAUUGAAGUAGCGGUGAAGAUGCCGCUUACCCGCGAACGGACGGAAAGACCCCGUGAACCUUUACUGUAGCUUGGCAUUGUAAAUUGGUGCAGUAUGUGUAGGAUAGGUGGGAGGCUAUGAGGCGUGCACGCCAGUGUGCGCGGAGCCAGCGUUGAAAUACCACCCUUAUUGUAUUGAUUUACUAACGAUAGAGCAACUAUUGGACAUUGCCAGGUGGGCAGUUUGACUGGGGCGGUCGCCUCCGAAAGAGUAACGGAGGCUUACCAAGGUUCCCUCCGGCUGGUUGGUAAUCAGCCAAAGAGCGCAAAGGUAUAAGGGAGCUUAACUGCGAGACCGACGGGUCGAGCAGGUGGGAAACCAGGUCUUAGUGAUCCGGCGGUUCUGAAUGGAAGGGCCGUUGCUCAAAGGAUAAAAGGUACUCCGGGGAUAACAGGCUGAUACCGCCCAAGAGUUCAUAUCGACGGCGGUGUUUGGCACCUCGAUGUCGGCUCAACUCAUCCUGGGGCUGAAGAAGGUCCCAAGGGUUCGGCUGUUCGCCGAUUAAAGAGUUACGCGAGCUGGGUUCAGAACGUCGUGAGACAGUUCGGUCCCUAUCCUUCGUGGGCGUAGGAAAUUUGAGGAGCACUGCAUUUAGUACGAGAGGACCGGUGUGGACGAACCUCUGGUGUACCGGUUGUGAUGCCAAUUGCAUUGCCGGGUAGCCAAGUUCGGUUAGGAUAACCGCUGAAAGCAUCUAAGCGGGAAGCCAGCUCCGAGAUAAGAUUUCCCCAUAGAGAGGUUGGAGACGACAACCUUGAUAGGUUACAGGUGUAAGCGCAGUAAUGCGUUGAGCCGAGUAAUACUAAUAACUCAAUUGGCUUUCACCU
This 2426-nucleotide ribosomal RNA is filed under the name wastewater metagenome. RNAcentral's name for it is "bacterial LSU rRNA". It matches the Rfam family "Bacterial large subunit ribosomal RNA", at positions 579 to 2925 of the family's 2925-position model. The record is from RNAcentral.